AGUGAACGCUGGCGGUAGGCCUAACACAUGCAAGUCGAACGGCAGCACAGUAAGAGCUUGCUCUUACGGGUGGCGAGUGGCGGACGUGUGAGGAAUACAUCGGAAUCUACUUUUUCGUGGGGGUUCACGUAGGGAAACUUACGCUAAUACCGCAUACGCCCUACGGUUGAAAGCAGGGGAUCUUCGGACCUUGCGCGAUUGAAUGAGCCGAUGUCGGAUUAGCUAGUUGGCGGGGUAAUGACCCACCAAGGGGGCGAUCCGUAGCUGGUCUGAGAGGAUGGUCACCGACACUGGAGGUGAAACAGGGACAAUGGUACUGAGAGAGGGAGCAGUGGGGAAUGGGGGACAGUGGGGGGGAGCAUGGUCCAGUCAUACCACGUGGGUGAAGAAGGCCUUCGGGGUGGAAAGACGUUUUGUUGGGAAAGAAAAGCAGCCGGUUAAUACCAAGCGGGUGUGACGGUACCGAAUGAAGAAGCACCGGCUAACUACGUG
This 492-nucleotide ribosomal RNA is filed under the name uncultured bacterium. RNAcentral describes it as "partial 16S ribosomal RNA". It matches the Rfam family "Bacterial small subunit ribosomal RNA", at positions 30 to 507 of the family's 1533-position model. The record is from RNAcentral.